GGGGGGGGGGGGGGGGGGGGGGGGCGCGGGCGGGGCGGGGGGUGGGUGGUCGUCGGGGGGGAGAGAGCGGCGCACGGGUGCGGGACACGUGUGCAACCUGCCUUUAUCUGGGGGAUGGCCUUUCGAAGGGAAGAUUAAUACCCAAUAAUAUAUUGAGUGGCAUCACUGGAUAUUGAAAACUCCGGUGGAUAGAGAUGGGCACGCGCAAGAUUAGAUAGUUGGUGAGGUAACGGCUCACCAAGUCAAUGAUCUUUAGGGGGCCUGAGAGGGUGAUCCCCCACACUGGUACUGAGACACGGACCAGACUCCUACGGGAGGCAGCAGUGAGGAAUAUUGGACAAUGGGUUAGCGCCUGAUCCAGCCAUCCCGCGUGAAGGACGACGGCCCUAUGGGUUGUAAACUUCUUUUGUAUAGGGAUAAACCUACUCUCGUGAGAGUAGCUGAAGGUACUAUACGAAUAAGCACCGGCUAACUCCGUG
This 479-nucleotide ribosomal RNA is filed under the name uncultured bacterium. RNAcentral describes it as "partial 16S ribosomal RNA". It matches the Rfam family "Bacterial small subunit ribosomal RNA", at positions 27 to 507 of the family's 1533-position model. The record is from RNAcentral.